This 226-nucleotide long non-coding RNA is filed under the name Elaeis guineensis (African oil palm). RNAcentral describes it as "long non-coding RNA (EGUI_LNC063361)". The record is from RNAcentral. Lineage: Eukaryota; Viridiplantae; Streptophyta; Magnoliopsida; Arecales; Arecaceae.
ACCUGUAUGCCAUACCAGUGUCUCCACACUCCUUGGUUAAGAGGACAACCAACCCAUAUGGCCUACAGUGACCUAUGCUCGAUAGAAGCUAUCAUCCUUAUUAAUAGUCCAUCAUUUGGUUGUGAACAGUUUUAAGGACUAAUCGAUAAAUUCUCUCUUUAUCGAACCUAAAUAGUCCUAAGGACUUCAUCACAACAACAGAGUUCAUUAGAAGAUGAAAACUUAU